GAUGAACGCUGGCGGCGUGCUUAACACAUGCAAGUCGAGCGAAGCACUUAUCAUUGACUCUUCGGAAGAUUUGAUAUUUGACUGAGCGGCGGACGGGUGAGUAACGCGUGGGUAACCUGCCUCAUACAGGGGAAUAACAGUUAGAAAUGGCUGCUAAUGCCGCAUAAGCGCACAGGACCGCAUGGUCCGGUGUGAAAAACUGAGGUGGUAUGAGAUGGACCCGCGUCUGAUUAGGUAGUUGGUGGGGUAACGGCCUACCAAGCCGACGAUCAGUAGCCGGCCUGAGAGGGUGAACGGCCACAUUGGGACUGAGACACGGCCCAGACUCCUACGGGAGGCAGCAGUGGGGAAUAUUGCACAAUGGGGGAAACCCUGAUGCAGCGACGCCGCGUGAAGGAAGAAGUAUCUCGGUAUGUAAACUUCUAUCAGCAGGGAAGAAAAUGACGGUACCUGA
RNAcentral lists this ribosomal RNA (454 nucleotides) under uncultured bacterium. RNAcentral's name for it is "bacterial SSU rRNA". It matches the Rfam family "Bacterial small subunit ribosomal RNA", at positions 28 to 482 of the family's 1533-position model. The record is from RNAcentral.